RNAcentral lists this ribosomal RNA (314 nucleotides) under uncultured bacterium. Its description in RNAcentral is "bacterial SSU rRNA". It matches the Rfam family "Bacterial small subunit ribosomal RNA", at positions 28 to 334 of the family's 1533-position model. The record is from RNAcentral.
GAUGAACGCUAGCUACAGGCUUAACACAUGCAAGUCGAGGGGCAUCAUGGCGGUCGCUUGCGACCGCUGAUGGCGACCGGCGCACGGGUGAGUAACACGUAUCCAACCUGCCGAUGACUCGGGGAUAGCCUUUCGAAAGAAAGAUUAAUACCCGAUGGCAUAGUUCUUCCGCAUGGUAGAACUAUUAAAGAAUUUCGGUCAUCGAUGGGGAUGCGUUCCAUUAGCUUGUUGGCGGGGUAACGGCCCACCAAGGCAUCGAUGGAUAGGGGUUCUGAGAGGAAGGUCCCCCACAUUGGAACUGAGACACGGUCCAA